ACAAUCUUAAUAAGAGAGAAGUGGGAAAAGGAAUAGUAUUGUAGAAAGAAUAGUGAUAUGCUGGCAUUUUUGUAAUUUUCUGUUAUUUGAAGGCUGAUUUUUGAAACUAUUGAUUUAUCUCACCUCUUUCUCCUCAUAGCCGAUGAGAGAUCAGCUUUCUUUUUCUCCCUUUCUACUUUCUAUGGUUUCUCUCUUUUGAAAUUCUACUCCAAGAAAUCAAAUCUUCUUCAAAUGAUCGCUGCAAAGUCAGAUCAAAAUCAACUCACUUGAGAAAGCCAUUACAGCAACAAAACCAAAGACACGUGCUCGUUCAGCGACAUCCACUUCUUCAAAAGUUGCAUAUUCUUCCACGGGAGUAGUGAGCACUACCUUGCAUUUGAGUUGAUAAAAACCGACCCUGUUGCGCUAGCGUUUCGCGUUCUUUCUAUAUGAUCUGAGGUGGUGCUUCUUAAAAUGGCCAAGUUUUGCUUGGCUAACAAAUGUUGUAGCCUUAUUGCUCCAUAUUAGCAAUAGGAACUCUUAUAGUAUUUGAUUAAUGUUAUUGUUUGAGUUCUUGGCAAAAUCUUUUACCUUUUGAUGUUGAUUGUGAGUAAAUUGUCUUGUAUUUUUCACUAGAUUGGAUUUGUUACUCUAGGAUUAGGACUUGGGUUAUUGCCUCUAGCCUUUAGGUUUUUUAAGGAUUUGUUACUUUGUGAUAUACAAAGAUUGUUAUUUUCGGUUUUUGGUUUUCGACGGGUGCCCUCACGGUCCGCUUGUCUUUGCUCAUAUCGAAUUUAUUUGUUGUAACACUUUUCAUCUGUUUAUUGCACCUUUGGUGAUUCACUACCCUACUUUGUUCAAAA
Long non-coding RNA from Salvia miltiorrhiza (redroot sage), 842 nucleotides. RefSeq lists it as uncharacterized. The transcript has 4 exons. The record is from RefSeq and is a predicted model, not a curated record. NCBI's taxonomy places the organism in Eukaryota, Viridiplantae, Streptophyta, Magnoliopsida, Lamiales, Lamiaceae.